Molecule: transfer RNA, 69 nt
Filed under: Bos taurus (domestic cattle)
Lineage: Eukaryota; Metazoa; Chordata; Mammalia; Artiodactyla; Bovidae
Also listed under: 2 other names
Rfam family: tRNA
About the family: Transfer RNA (tRNA) molecules are approximately 80 nucleotides in length. Their secondary structure includes four short double-helical elements and three loops (D, anti-codon, and T loops).
Source: Rfam by way of RNAcentral
CCUGGUGGCUCAGAAGGUAAAGCAUCUGCCUCCAACGCAGGAGACAUGGGUUCGAUUCCUGGGUCAGGA